RNAcentral lists this long non-coding RNA (248 nucleotides) under Medicago truncatula (barrel medic). The record is from RNAcentral. Lineage: Eukaryota; Viridiplantae; Streptophyta; Magnoliopsida; Fabales; Fabaceae.
GAGCAGAUGAUGAAAUAAAACCAUUAGUUGCUUAUUGGUUAUUCCAUGAAGCUAUGCUAAUCGAGCUUUUUAAAACUGAUGCUCAAACCAUACAUAGUCCAUAUAAGAAAAAGGGUGAAUGACCCAUUGUAUUGUUUCUGGUAGCUUGAAACUAUGAUUAUUUGAGUAGAUGAUGAAAUAAAAUCAUUGAUUGCUUAUUGGUUAUUCCAUGAAGCUAUCCUAAUCGAGCUUUUUAAAACUGAUGCUCA